Long non-coding RNA from Oncorhynchus tshawytscha (Chinook salmon), 1638 nucleotides. The record is from Ensembl. NCBI's taxonomy places the organism in Eukaryota, Metazoa, Chordata, Actinopteri, Salmoniformes, Salmonidae.
GUCUCAACGCACCCUUAGAAUGUUGUGAAAGGAUCCAGGAUCCCAAAUUAUUUGGGUGGAUUCCAUCCUCCUUAUAAAAUGUGUUUUGUUUCCAAAAGGUAUCGAAAUUGUCAACAAAAGUUACACCAAUUAAACUGCAAUAAUCACGUAGCCGUUGUGAAGAGAAAGAAUCAUCCUGCUAAAGCGUUCAAUGCCACGAUUCAGAGAGGGUUAGGGUUAGGGUCUUUUAUUAGUUUCUAGCAGAGAAUCAAUCUCCUCUUUAAAAUCCAGUUUUAACUGUUCAGAGCUGCCCUUCAUAAUGUCAUUAAAACCCACAUGGACUACGAUAGAAUCGAUUUACAUGGGGCUGUAAUGAUCGUUGUUGGAAGGAUGGUCGGACCAAGAUGCAGCGUGGGGUAGGUUAAUCCUUUUUAUUUAUGAUAACCGGCACAAAACAAAAGAGUAACCAACGAAACGUACAGCUUUGUAGGGCUAAAAGCAACAAUACAAAAUCAAGAUCCCACACAUAUGGAAAAAAUAUGAUCCCCAAUCAGAGACAACGAUAGACAGCUGCCUCUGAUUGGGAACCAUACUAGGCCAACAUAGAAAAUAAAAAAACUAGACUACCCACCCAAGUCACACCCUGACCUAACCAAAAUAGAGAAAUAAAAGGUUCUCUAAGGUCAGGGUGUGACAGGGGCGUAGAACAUUUGGGAGCAGCUUAGUAAUGUAAUUUCCUCGAGCUCCUGGAUAGGACAAUGUUUUUGGACCAGGAACAGUGACAUUUGCUACCAUGGAGCUGCCCAAAAUCAUGGCUGGCGAGAAGGACAAGAAAAUCCGCCCUCUCCCAUGCUUCACAGGAUUCAAAGAAUUCUUUAAGGACGGGCGAUGGGCAGGAUAACUUGAGCCUGUAGCUCCCAGCGCCUGGUGCAGGCGUUCGACAGAUGGUGGGGGCGUUCGACAGAUGGUGCAGGCGUUCCACAGAUGGUGCAGGCUUUCGACAGAUGGUGCAAGCGUUCGACAGAUGGUGCAGGCGUUCGACAGAUGGUGCUAGCGUUCGACAGAUGGUGCAGGCGUUCCACAGAUGGUGCAGGCGUUCCACAGAUGGUGCAGGCGUGCGACAGAUGGUGCAAGCGUUCGACAGAUGGACAGAAGCCUCGCUCGAUCCAGAGCACGGAUGGAAGGUUGUCGACGACGACUUGGAAAUCAUAGGGGAAGGAGUAGGCAUAGCAACCGCAGACACAGGUACCCACAUCGAUGAAGGUGCAGGAAGAUCAGGCUCCAAACACAGGUACCCACAUCGAUGAAGGUGAGGGAAGAUCAGGCUCCAGACACAGGUACCCACAUCGAUGAAGGUGCAGGAAGAUCAGGCUCCAGACACAGGUACCCACAUCGAUGAAGGUGCAGGAAGAUCAGGCUCCAGACACAGGUACCCACAUCAAUGAAGGUGAGGGAAGAUCAGGCUCCAGACACAGGUACCCACAUCGAUGAAGGUGCAGGAAGAUCAGACACAGGUACCCACAUCGAUGAAGGUGCAGGAAGAUCAGGCUCCAGGGCAGCGAAACUAUUCGUUGUUUGUAUCUGCUCCAGGCCUCUCGUUGGGAGUGUAACCUGCUUUGUGGGAGGCCGCUGUCUUCGGCUUCCACUGCUCAUGAAAUG